UGGGGAAUAUUGCACAAUGGGGGAAACCCUGAUGCAGCAACGCCGCGUGGAGGAAGAAGCAUUUCGGUGUGUAAACUCCUUUUAUAUAGGAAGAUAAUGACGGUACUAUAUGAAUAAGCACCGGCUAACUCCGUGCCAGCAGCCGCGGUAAUA
RNAcentral lists this ribosomal RNA (153 nucleotides) under uncultured Campylobacterota bacterium. RNAcentral describes it as "uncultured Epsilonproteobacteria bacterium partial 16S ribosomal RNA". It matches the Rfam family "Bacterial small subunit ribosomal RNA", at positions 355 to 525 of the family's 1533-position model. The record is from RNAcentral. Lineage: Bacteria; Pseudomonadati; Campylobacterota.